This 87-nucleotide transfer RNA is filed under the name Bacillota bacterium. RNAcentral's name for it is "tRNA-Leu". It matches the Rfam family "tRNA". Rfam says of the family: Transfer RNA (tRNA) molecules are approximately 80 nucleotides in length. Lineage: Bacteria; Bacillati; Bacillota. RNAcentral also lists the same sequence under 1 other name. The record is from RNAcentral.
GCACGUGUGGCGGAAUUGGCAGACGCGCACGGUUCAGGUCCGUGUGAGGUAACAGUCGUGGAAGUUCGAAUCUUCUCACGUGCACCA